GAGGGGUAAUCCCGCCUUCGGGCGGGAACGACCGGCGAACGGGUGCGUAACGCGUAUGCAAUCUGCCCACUGCUGGGGGAUAGCCCGAAGAAAUUUGGAUUAACCCCCCAUGGUACGGCGACUCCGCAUGGGGUUGUCGUUAAAGUUUACGGCAGUGGAUGAGCAUGCGUCCCAUUAGCUAGUUGGUGAGGUAACGGCUCACCAAGGCUGCGAUGGGUAGGGGUCCUGAGAGGGAGAUCCCCCACACUGGUACUGAGACACGGACCAGACUCCUACGGGAGGCAGCAGUGAGGAAUAUUGGACAAUGGGGGCAACCCUGAUCCAGCCAUGCCGCGUGCAGGAAGACGGCCCUACGGGUUGUAAACUGCUUUUGUACGGGAAGAACUCCCCGCUCGUGAGCGGGGCUGACGGUACCGUAAGAAUAAGCACCGGCUAACUCCGUGCCAGCAGCCGCGGUAAUACGGAGGGUGCAAGCGUUAUCCGGAAUCAUUGGGUUUAAAGGGUCCGCAGGCUGGGCGGUAAGUCAGUGGUGAAAUGCAGGGGCUCAACCCCGGCACUGCCAUUGAUACUGCCGUUCUUGAAUCGUCGUGAAGUGGCCGGAAUAUGUAGUGUAGCGGUGAAAUGCUUAGAUAUUACAUAGAACACCUAUUGCGAAGGCAGGUCACUAACGGCGUAUUGACGCUGAGGGACGAAAGCGUGGGUAGCGAACAGGAUUAGAUACCCUGGUAGUCCACGCCGUAAACGAUGGUUACUAGCUGUCCG
This 762-nucleotide ribosomal RNA is filed under the name uncultured bacterium. Its description in RNAcentral is "bacterial SSU rRNA". It matches the Rfam family "Bacterial small subunit ribosomal RNA", at positions 64 to 826 of the family's 1533-position model. The record is from RNAcentral.